GAUGAACGCUGGCGGCGUGCCUAAUACAUGCAAGUCGAGCGAACAGAUGAGGAGCUUGCUCCUCUGACGUUAGCGGCGGACGGGUGAGUAACACGUGGAUAACCUACCUAUAAGACUGGGAUAACUUCGGGAAACCGGAGCUAAUACCGGAUAAUAUAUUGAACCGCAUGGUUCAAUAGUGAAAGACGGUUUUGCUGUCACUUAUAGAUGGAUCCGCGCCGCAUUAGCUAGUUGGUAAGGUAACGGCUUACCAAGGCAACGAUGCGUAGCCGACCUGAGAGGGUGAGCGGCCACACUGGAACUGUGACACGGUCCAGACUCCUACGGGAGGCAGCAGUAGGGAAUCUUCCGCAAUGGGCGAAAGCCUGACGGAGCAACGCCGCGUGAGUGAUGAAGGUCUUCGGAUCGUAAAACUCUGUUAUUAGGGAAGAACAAAUGUGUAAGUAACUAUGCACGUCUUGACGGUACCUAAUCAGAGAGCCACGGCUAACUACGUG
This 497-nucleotide ribosomal RNA is filed under the name uncultured bacterium. Its description in RNAcentral is "partial 16S ribosomal RNA". It matches the Rfam family "Bacterial small subunit ribosomal RNA", at positions 28 to 507 of the family's 1533-position model. The record is from RNAcentral.